AUACGGAGGAUGCAAGCGUUAUCCGGAUUUAUUGGGUUUAAAGGGUGCGUAGGCGGAUGAUUAAGCGUGAGGUGAAAUGCCACUGCUCAACAGUGGAACUGCCUCGCGAACUGGUUGUCUUGAAUGCUCCUGCCGUGGGAGGAAUGUGUGGUGUAGCGGUGAAAUGCAUAGAGAUCACACAGAACACCGAUUGCGAAGGCAUCUCACGAAGGGGUUAUUGACGCUGAGGCACGAAAGCGUGGGGAUCAAACAGGAUUAGAUACCCUGGUAGUCCACGCAGUAAACGAUGAUAACUAACCGCUGGGUCGUAGUGAUUCAGUGGCCAAGCGAAAGCGAUAAGUUAUCCACCUGGGGAGUACGACCGCAAGGUUGAAACUCAAAGGAAUUGGCGGGG
This 394-nucleotide ribosomal RNA is filed under the name uncultured bacterium. Its description in RNAcentral is "partial 16S ribosomal RNA". It matches the Rfam family "Bacterial small subunit ribosomal RNA", at positions 523 to 918 of the family's 1533-position model. The record is from RNAcentral.